This 467-nucleotide long non-coding RNA is filed under the name Hordeum vulgare. Its description in RNAcentral is "long non-coding RNA (HVUL_LNC013120)". Lineage: Eukaryota; Viridiplantae; Streptophyta; Magnoliopsida; Poales; Poaceae. The record is from RNAcentral.
CCUGCAGAGCGAGCUGUAAAUGGAACUCAGGUUAAGCUUUUGGAUAUUACUGCUAUCUCACAACUACGAGAUGAGGGGCAUAUCUCAAAUCGUACGCUAAGAGCUCCGACAGGCAUUCAUGAUUGCUUGCACUGGUGCCUUCCUGGUAUACCAGAUAUGUGGAAUGAGCUCCUCUUUGCACAGAUUUAGUACCUGUAUACUGCACUUGAGUUAGGGCAUUUUUCUCCCAGAGGCCCAAGAAUCCAUUGAUAUUCCUGNNNCUUCCCAGAGGCCAAAGAACCCAUUAAUAUCCCGCUGGUGGUUUGUACAGGGUGAAUUGCUUUCUACCAGUGUUGUUUGUGAACCAUCCAUGCACAGGUGGAGUUUUUGGUCAUCCAUCCAUGCGAUAGGUGGUUAACAGUGUCAAGAUGAUAGCAUUCUUUCCAGUGUAUUACAGUUCGUUCCAGUUCCCUGAUCCCGUUUCAGAC